RNAcentral lists this unclassified non-coding RNA (508 nucleotides) under Hevea brasiliensis (rubber tree). Lineage: Eukaryota; Viridiplantae; Streptophyta; Magnoliopsida; Malpighiales; Euphorbiaceae. The record is from RNAcentral.
UGGGAAGUAUGGUAGGUGCAAAUUAAUUAAUGUAGUCUCUUACAAUUUUCUCACAAUUUAUAUUGUUGAAUUGCUGGAUAGUAAAGAUAUUCUUACAUAUAUAGAAUUCUAAAUUAGCAACUUUUUCUGUGCACUUUGUAAUCUGACAUUGUGUACUCUAUGGUUAAUUAGUUAUAUUUACCUGAUCUAGCAAGAGACAUAGUAAUCUUAACUUGAGUGCUACUCCAAAUCUGUAUUACAAUUGUGAUAGUAAUGAUACUUUAGCUACAUUAGGAUUUUAGAUCACUUAAGGUCUCUUAUGCAUCAUUGAGGUUAUUAUUAUUUAAGAUUGAGUUAAUUGAAGCUGUUAAUGGGUGAAUGUAGCAACAUGGAAUUUUUUAGAGUGAUUCUGGAUUUGAAGAAUGUGAAGAGUGAUGUCUUCUUGUUUACUCUCAUUUUCAUGGUUCUUGGCAUGAAAAUUGUCUGAUUUUUAAUUGGUCUUUGAUGCAGGCACCCGUUAUGGUGCUAG